GCUGGAGAAGGCUUUGACAUGUCCCAAUCUUUAUCUAUUGCAAAUUAUGUCUAAGUUAGGCAAGACACUAGCAAAGUGCGAGAGUGACCUGAUGAGCUCUAAACUUAAUUAUUUGGAAUUGUUUAAAUCCGAGAUUGAGGAUGACCCAAUGGGGAUACUGGGAAAGCUUCCUUGCUUGGUAACACUGCGAUUCCUGUAUGACUCAUUUGUUGGGGAGGAGAUGAGGUGUCCAGCAAACAGUUUUCUUCGCCUCAAGAAGCUAACAUUAAGAGGUUUGCCAAAGUUGAGGGAGUGGAGAGUGGAGUCAGGAGCCAUGCCCCUUCUCUCUCGAUUAACAAUCAGAGAGUGUUCUUGUCUAGAGAUGAUUCCAGAGGGAUUGAGUGGCAUUUCUACCCUUCAGACUCUCGUAAUUAAAAAAAUGCCGCAAUUGGGCGAAAGAGUAUCACCAGCAGGACAAGAUUUCUACAAAGUAUGCCAUGUCCCUUCAAUUAUCAUCAAGGACUAGUCUGUACCCAACCAGGCGGUGGCAAUGGUGCUGGCAAUGUGGGGGUUCGUGUCGUACUCAUACAUCUACCAGCAUCAUCUCUAUGAUUAGAAGAUGAAGGAAGAGACAAAAAUGAUGGAGGUGUGCAGAUUCAGCUUGUUGAUGAAAGAGAAUACCUUGAUUUGAGUGCUUAAGUCUUCAUUAUGUUUGCUUUAAGAUUAAAUAUAGGCUGCAUUUUGUUUGAUAACUUGUUAUUAUUGAUGCUAUUCAGCUAGUCUUGGGAAUCUACUCUUUCUGGUUAUGAACUUUGGCUAGAUAAUUAUGCAAAGUUCAGAUGGUAUUGUUUUGU
Salvia hispanica is the source of this 833-nucleotide non-coding RNA. NCBI's taxonomy places the organism in Eukaryota, Viridiplantae, Streptophyta, Magnoliopsida, Lamiales, Lamiaceae. The record is from RefSeq and is a predicted model, not a curated record.